The sequence is a transfer RNA, 87 nucleotides long. It matches the Rfam family "tRNA". From Rfam's summary of the family: Transfer RNA (tRNA) molecules are approximately 80 nucleotides in length. Their secondary structure includes four short double-helical elements and three loops (D, anti-codon, and T loops).
GCCGCCGUGGUGAAACUGGUAGACACGCAAGGUUUAGGACCUUGUGGGGGCAACUCCAUGUCGGUUCGAGUCCGACCGGCGGCACCA